UUUAUUUUUUCUUCUCAAUACUAUUAUUGCCAAAAAUAUGAGUUUGUAUAUUAUUAUACUGACUUCUAAAUUGUUAAGUUUUCAUUACUUUCUCACACAUUAAGAAUGAAUUUCAUAUAAAGUGGUGAGACCUACAUGAGUUUUACUCAAUAAAAAAGUGAAUGUUAGAGAGAUUGUUCAUAAAGAUCUAAUGCUUGGUAACUUGUAAGUAAAGAUUCUAAAAUAUAACAAAACUCUGCAAAAAAAAGAAGAAGAAGAUUAUAUUCUUAAACCUUAUGAUCUCUUUGAUUCAAUGGAUGAGAUUGAUGAAAUUUUAUGUACAUGUUUGAUUUGAUAAGGGGAGGUAAUAGAUUUUAAUAGAUAAGUGUAGAUAUUUUUUUUAAAAUAUUUAAUGCUAUGUUAAACAAAAUGAUAUUUAAUUAAAAUUUUGAAUAAACA
RNAcentral lists this long non-coding RNA (438 nucleotides) under Medicago truncatula (barrel medic). RNAcentral describes it as "long non-coding RNA (MTRU_LNC001272)". Lineage: Eukaryota; Viridiplantae; Streptophyta; Magnoliopsida; Fabales; Fabaceae. The record is from RNAcentral.